ACCUGGGUGGCUCAGUCGGUUGAGCGGCCGACUUCGGCUCGGGUCAUGAUCUCACAUUCCGUGAGUUCGAGCCCCGCUUCGGGCU
This is a non-coding RNA of Felis catus (domestic cat), 85 nucleotides long. The record is from Rfam. NCBI's taxonomy places the organism in Eukaryota, Metazoa, Chordata, Mammalia, Carnivora, Felidae.